UACGUAGGCAGCAAGCGUUGUUCGGAGUUACUGGGCGUAAAGGGUGUGUAGGCGGUCUUCUAAGUUUGGUGUGAAAUCUCCCGGCUCAACUGGGAGGGUGCGCCGAAAACUGGGAGGCUAGAGUACUGGAUGGGAGAGUGGAAUUCCUGGUGUAGCGGUGAAAUGCGCAGAUAUCAGGAAGAACACCCGUGGCGAAGGCGGCUCUCUGGGACGGUACUGACGCUGAGACGCGAAAGCGUGGGGAGCGAACAGG
RNAcentral lists this ribosomal RNA (253 nucleotides) under uncultured bacterium. RNAcentral's name for it is "partial 16S ribosomal RNA". It matches the Rfam family "Bacterial small subunit ribosomal RNA", at positions 524 to 776 of the family's 1533-position model. The record is from RNAcentral.